Molecule: long non-coding RNA, 682 nt
Organism: Uranotaenia lowii
Lineage: Eukaryota; Metazoa; Arthropoda; Insecta; Diptera; Culicidae
Exons: 3
Source: RefSeq, a predicted model, not a curated record
ACCAAAACAUCUUCAAAACAAAUAUCCUUUGUGAAAUGGAAAAGAAAGUAAUUGAAAAGUGGAUUUAAAUCGGAUGGCGAUAUUUGAAUUUCCGGUUUCUAAUCGAAACUUAAAAAACAUGGGCUCCGAUAAAUUAUAAAAUACAGAAGAUGUUCGUGAGAUGUUAGUUGUUUCGGAUUGAUGAAGACAGGUGAAUCAAAUAUACAUAAUAUGUAGUUCGAUCAUUGAAGCCUAGAAUCGUUGAGUUGUGCGCUGAGUUUUCCUGGAAAAUCUGCAUUCAGCUUACAGUGGACUCAAAAGUUAUCUGCACCUCAAAAUUGAAAAUCCCUACCCUCCUGGACGAAACUUUUUGAAACGCACUUUUCAUAUAAUUUCCAUAGUGAUAUCCUAAUUCGUCAAGCCGAGUCCAACCAGAAGCAUAACAAAAGCAAUGAAGCUUCAUCCUAAAAUCGAUGAAUGAGUUUUGGAGAUAAAUAUUUGAAUAUUCAGUUUGAUCAACGAUCUGAAUACAGAAACCAGAUAUAAGAUUUUUAGUUACAAAUCAAUUCACAGGAUGCUUUUCACGGUCGAAGAUAGAAGGUGUUAUAAACAAUUCGUGAAGUGUAUAUUGUCAGCUAAUGAAGAAAUCUCCUAUAAUAAAUAUUUUUUUAAAUAAAAAUUGUUACCAUUAUAUUGUACCAAA